UACAGAGGUCCCAAGCGUUGUUCGGAUUCAUUGGGCGUAAAGGGUGCGUAGGCGGCGCGGUAAGUCGGGUGUGAAAUCUCGGGGCUUAACUCCGAAACUGCAUUCGAUACUGCCGUGCUUGAGGACUGGAGAGGAGACUGGAAUUUACGGUGUAGCGGUGAAAUGCGUAGAUAUCGUAAGGAAGACCAGUGGCGAAGGCGGGUCUCUGGACAGCUCCUGACGCUGAGGCACGAAGGCCAGGGGAGCAAACGGG
Molecule: ribosomal RNA, 253 nt
Filed under: uncultured bacterium
Lineage: Bacteria
Description: partial 16S ribosomal RNA
Rfam family: Bacterial small subunit ribosomal RNA
Source: RNAcentral